This 69-nucleotide transfer RNA is filed under the name Mycolicibacterium pulveris. Its description in RNAcentral is "tRNA-Trp". The record is from RNAcentral. Lineage: Bacteria; Bacillati; Actinomycetota; Actinomycetes; Mycobacteriales; Mycobacteriaceae.
CACGCUGCUCGAGCAGGCGCUCGGCGGUUUCCAGAAUCGCCUGCUCACGUUCGUCGCCCGACGGCCUGC